Hippopotamus amphibius kiboko is the source of this 7648-nucleotide long non-coding RNA. RefSeq lists it as uncharacterized. The record is from RefSeq and is a predicted model, not a curated record. Lineage: Eukaryota; Metazoa; Chordata; Mammalia; Artiodactyla; Hippopotamidae. The transcript has 3 exons.
UUCAGUAGCCACCGGCGCAGGGGCGUGGAGUCCAGUCCUUGGGGGGUGGGAGUGGGCAGGGGGACAAGAGUUAGGUUGGGUGUCAGGACAGGGAGAAGGAGCAAUAAGUCCAGACCUGGAAAACGGCUCUGAUCGCCUAGCAUGCUCCCUGGAACUCUUUGUCACGAAGACUGUUUUCUCCCACAUUCUCACUCUGGCGGGGGAUGGAUUGGGGAGCUUUUUGAUCCGGCUGUUCUCUCUGUGCUGUAGUCUUGCUCCAUCUCCCUGAAUUUGAAGCACACUCACUUGGCUUAUUUCAUUCAUAGCCUUCAGCACUUCUGAAAUGGUCUCUUUCACCUGCCUGCCUACUUCUGCAUGGCUGGCCUUUGAGCGUUUGGAUACCAGCAUCUUGAGUACAGAACUUGGCACUGACCACAGCUGCACCCCCAGCUCUUGGAACAGACUAGAUGUGUGCUCAGGGCAUGGACCCAUGGGGUGUUGGGAUACUUGAGUGAGGCUGGGGACUUGAGACUGACGUGGACAGAGACUCAUGAGAUGGUGUCGUGGCAGGAAGAUGCUGUGGGUUUUGAGUCAGACCCGGUUUAAAUACCUGUCUCAGCUACUAGCCAGUUACCUCAGCCCUGGCAAAUCCUUGCGACUCCUGGAGCCUCUGUUUCCUCAUCUGCAUCAUGCAGGUGAAAUUGCCCACUUCCUGGGAUGGUUGAGAAGAGGAGCGAGGAACCCAGCUCAACAGAGCUUUGCAAGUAGGAAAUGUCUCAGCUCACAGCAUCCAAGCCAGCGGGAGAUAGUGGGUCUCAAGAAGGCCCAGGAUGCAAGAACUGUGACGUGAGGCUGCCAGAACCUUCCACCUGCCCUGCCCUUUGCACUGGUUUGUGUGCCAGCUUUCUCUCUGCAAACUGGCUUCCUCUGUGAUCAACCGGACUUCCAUCAGGGCAGCAAAACCAAGGGAUGAGACAUCUUCCAGAUUUAAGAUGAUUGCUCAGCAGACUGGGCCCAUGGGCUCGAUUUGGGUGUGGAGCAGGCUCAGUUUCAGAUAAAGGAGAACGGGAUUCCAGCCUUUCAUCCCCUCAGAUGCCAGCCAGACAUCAGCCAAGAAGCAGCAGUUUCUAAAGAGAUGCCCUAAGCCAACUUUCCCUUGAAUUUCUCUUUCAACGGGACUUUGAUUCUGGAGCGGUUACAUAACAUCACUUUCUAAGGGGGCCCAACCUCCCACCAUCAGUCUGCCUGGAUGACCUGCUCCUGUUUCCGAAGCAGCCCCUGCAGGUGCCUGGUUCUCUGCUGCGGUGCUAGGUCUUCAAAGAGAAAGCAAGGGCAGCUUCCAUCACUGGGUAAGUGCUUGUCCUCCCAGCUGAGCUUUUUGCAGUUCACCACUCCCCCAUGUGUUGGCCACUACCCACCUUUCCAGAAGCAUUCCUGCUAGCCCUACACAUGUCUACACUGCAGCUCAAUGCUGCACAUCCCUUCUCCUAAACAUCAGGGGGCUGCACUGUCUCUUGGAAACUCCUUCCUGUCCAGCUCCCUACAGCUGCAGACAAAUAGACCCUUCAGGUCAAAUUCCACCACCUUCGGAGAGCCUCCUGGAUUCCCUGCAGUUAGAAGAGGCCCACACCCUUCUCUUCCCCACUGUACAUGACUUGCACGUUUCCUAGGGCAUGGAUCACAGGUUGUUUGCUGCUUGUCAUUUGCUCCCUGUCCUGGUUUCAACACCAUCACCAGCAACAGCACCGGUGACCCUAUGAAACUGUGUGCCCAGCCCAAGUCUGGUGGACAUGGAGACCCACUGCCUUCAGCCAGGGGGUGUGGUCAGCAGACAGAGCCCUGCUCUUGGCUCCUUCACCCAAGCAAGAUGGGGAUUUAAAGGUCCAGCCAAUUCAGCCCAGGAUGGACAGACAAGUCUACUGAACAAUGUUUCCUCUUGAGCUCCGGGGUUAGCCAAAGCUUUGUGGGGUUGGCACUGCAGUUCCACUUUCUCAUCUGCCCCCAUCCUGCCUCCUCUCACUUCCGUUCACCAGUGUUGAUCCCCACGAAGCAUCUUCUACACAAACUCCAACUCAGCACCCGCUUCCCAAGAACCCAGCCAGCAGCACUGGGCCUUCUCUUGGGCUUCUUUGUUCUUUCAUUCAGCAAAGCUUGACCCAGCUCCGACCACGUACAGACACUGUUCUGAGCAAUUGAACUUUGGCAGCAAACAAUGUGGGACUUAAAGGUAUGUGGGGAGAGAGACUAGAAACAAGCAAAUAAAUGAACAAGAUAAUGUAAACGCUGUAAGAACGGACAGGUAAUGGAUCAGAGAGUGACUUGGAGGUAACCACCCUGGAUGGAGAAGGAGGGUGUGGAAAAGCUUCUCUGAGGAGGAGACUUUGAUCCGAGUGCGGAAGGUUGAGAAGGAGCUAGCCAUGGGAAGUGCUGUUCUUUCCAGUUAUUUCUGUCUAACUGCCCUGGACAUCUCGCCAAGUGCUCCCAGGCCCCCAGUGGCCUCCCCUGUCCCUAGUCCUUACUACACUUCUCUGCCUGUGUUCAUGACCUCGGGGGACGCCACCCCUGUCCACCAGCCACUCAGCCCAGAUCCUUGCAGUCACCAUGCCCCCUCCCUCUCCCUCUUUACCAGGUCCUGAUGCCACCAAUACUCUGGGGCUACCACACCCCUGUGCCAGCUACAUGCUGCCGGCACCUGCCAUCAGCUCUUGCAAUACUCACCUGACAGGUUUGUCCUUCUCCGUCUGUCACCAUCCUCCUUGCUCUCGAGGUCCAGAUCCAGCCUCCUUCCUUUAUAAGCCCUCCACCUGACCCCAUGCACACCUGCCUCACAAAACAAAGCACUCCCAACUCUGGGGUCACGCAUCACCCGGUGUAUUAAUUUGCUGGGGCUGGUGUGACAGAGAACCUCACACUGGGAGGCUUGAACAAUGGCAGUUUAUUCUCUCACAGUUCUGGAAGCUGGAAGUCUGAGAUCAAGGUGUCAGCAGGGCUGUGCUCCCUCGGGGACUCUGGAGAGGGUCCUUCUUGCCUGUCCUAGCCCCUGGUGGCAGCCGGAAGUCUUUGGCGUCCCUUGGCUUGCAUCUACAUCAGUCUGAUCCCUGCCUCUGCUGUCACAUGAUGCCCUCCUGUGUCUCUUCCCAUCCUCCUCCCUCUGUGCUUGUCUGUCUCUGUGUUCAAAUUUCCUCUUUUGGGAAAGAUGCAAGUUACAUUGAAUUAGGGUCCACUCUAAUGGAGUCCUUUUAACUUGACUACCUCCGUAAAGAUCCUAUUUCCAAAUAAAUCACAUCCUGAGGCACUGGAGGGUUAAAACUUCAACACAUCUUUUCAACCCAGGACACCUGCCAAGCUUCUACCUUAGUCUUACACACAUCUUGGCAUAAUCUUCUUCCAAUGGGGCCACUCCCCUCCCUCACCCCCUUUUCAAUAUCAGAUUUGCAACAGAAUUUUUUUAUUUUGCAGCACAUUAAAACAAUUUUAUAUCCAACUCAGAUAUAAAACACAAAGUGGAGAUGCUCUCUGAUGAAAGGGGAGGGUGGUGAGUAUCAGAGGUAACCUCCCUGGCCGUGGCACCUUCACUAGCUGGCCUCUGAGGUCUGGGGUGCCGUGAGCCACAGUGGAAAAGCACUGGCUGGACAGCAAGACCCUUGGCAAUGAGCCUGGGCCUUGGCCAAUGGGAACCCUAGGAUCCCAAGCCAGUACCCUCACUUCCUCAAGCCACUGCCCAAACUUCAGCUUCAGAGAUGUCUCCCCUGAUGACCUAGUGACAAACAGUAAUGCCCUGCUUUCUCUCCCCCCACUCUAUUCUGCCUUAUUUUCCUCCCUAGCACUUUCUCCAUACUUAUUUAUUUACUGUCUGUUCCCCCUGCACUAGAAUGUAAGCUUUGUAAGGACAGACACCUCCUGGCUAUUCUUCCAGUGGCCAGAGCAGUGCCUGGUAGGUAGUAGAUGCUCAGUGAAUAUUUAUGGGAUGGAUGGAUCACCUUUUCUUGUAACAACUUUAUUGAGAAAUAACUCACAUUCCAUACAGCUCAGGCAUUUAAUGUGUGCAAUUCAGUGGUUUUUAGCGUGUUCAUCGAGGUUGGGGAGACACAGUAGACCAUUAUCAUGAGAUGUCCUACUCUGAAUGAUACCAGACAAAAGUACCUACUUGAUACUAGCAUACCAGUUUAUUAAAUAUAUUAGUGCAUGAAAAAGAGAAAAUCAGGAUUUUGGAUUGUGAGACAAACAUAGACAUGGAGUUUUUUGUGGGUAAUAUUUCUCUCUUAUUUUGUAAGAAAGCAUAGGUAUUAUACUAAGAAAUCAAAUAAUGCACAUAAGCUGACACCUUAUGAAUAGAUAAUAAAAGUUGUUAUAUAAUAAAAUACAGCAAAUUCAUUAACUUAAAAAUAUUAGGGACUUCCCUGGUGCAGUGGUUAAGAAUCUGCCUGCCAAUGCAGGGGACACGGGUUUGAGCCCUGGUCCGGGAAGAUAACACAUGCCAUGGAGCAACUGAGCCCGUGUGCCACAACUACUGAGCUUGCGCUCUAGAGCCCUCGAGUCACAACUAUUGAGUCCAUGUGCUACAACUACUGAAGCCCGUGUGCCUAGAGCCUGUGCUCUGCAACAAGAGAAGCCACUGCAAUGAGAAGCCCGCACACCACAACUAAGAGUAGCCCCCACUCACUGCAACUAGAGAAAGCCCUCACGUAGCAAUGAAGACUCAACACAGCCAAAAAAAAAAAAAAAAAUUAAACAGCUGUAGUUGAUGCCUAUUGUUUUUAUUUGCUGAGAACCCAUAUCCAGAAACUUCCCCUUUCCCAUCUCUGGAUGUUUAUCAUUGCUAUGGCAGCCGCCACAAUGGUCCAUUGUGUCCCCAGACUCUGCACAUGGCUGAUUAGUUCCAAGUGAGCUCCAGAUGCAAGCUGGGCCCAGCAGAAUCUGGACUCCAAACUAAGCCACGAUUCAUCUGACUGCUUUCCAGAAUAAAAGAGAUGUGAACUUGGAGCUCUUGGUGGCUUUGCUCUGCCACGUGGACUAAGAGGGAAUAAACUGGUGGAUGGUAAGAGAGAAAAAUAAAACAAUGGAAGAAGAAAAUGGAGGUGAGGAGGAGGAGAAGGAGAAAUAGUUGGAAGAGGAAGAGAGAGAAAGAAGAAGACAGAUUCGAAGCACCCAGGAUGCUCUCAACAGUGCUUAGGAGAUGAGUUAUUUAUUACCACAAUAAUGCUGUGUAACAAACAACUGUAAAACUUCAGUGGUAUACGAUCAGCAUUGGUGGUAUGUGCGUACGGAGUCAGGUAGGGGACUGGGUGCUGUUGGUUUUUUCUGGGCUCGUUGGCAUAUCUGGAGGUUGGCUGACUACUACCGAAUCUAAGCUGGCUUCCCCCAGGAUGCGGAGUGACUCAGCUGUGGUCCACAUGGCUCUCAUUCUCCUGUAGACCCGCCUGGGUAUCUUCUUCUCCUGGUGAUGACAGAGGCAAAAGAACUCAAGUGGAAACAUGCAAGGCCAGGGCUGAGAACUAGCAACCUUAACCUGUUGGCCAAAGUAAGUCUUGUGGUUGAACCCGGAACCCGAGUGGAGGGCACUGCACAUCGAUGUGCAAAGUGCAUGUGUGCAGGGAGGGGUGAAGAGUCGGGGUGAUGUUUGCAAUCUACACCAUGGAUGCUUGACUGAGAUCAUGAACACGUAUAAAAACGAGGACUUUAAUGGUCCCUAUUCUCAGUGAGAUGCUCAGUAAAUGUAACCUAGUGUUCCGAUACUUAUCAUGCCCUUGAAGUACUUCACAGACCCCAAUACCUAGUAAAGGGGGUCAAAACUAUUAUUUUCACUGCUACAGAUAAACUUGCAGGAACUCAGGGACUUUCACCCUGUCAGUCACACAAUUCCGAGCCCUCGCCUCCACCUCCUGCUAUGAACUCACUUCAGAUGCAUCUCAUUUCUCCUCUGCACUGACAGCGGUGAUGGGCUAUUCAUUUCUAUAAGUGAUACAUCCUGCCUGGUCUCCCCUCGACUCGCAACCCUUCCAGAUUACUCAGGGCCUCCAAUCACAGUCUAUGCUUCAGUCCAAAUUCUUGGUCCUUUUCAAUAUGGUCCCAACCUGCUCUGGCCUCUUUGCUCGUUUUUCUGCCAUUUCUACCCUGUGGGUCAGUCAGAUGGGAAUCACUGCCCAUGCCCUGCCACGUUUGACAAGCCCCACUCUCCACACCAGUCACGGGUUGGCUGCUAAUCUCCAAGUCAUCUUUUUACUCUGGAACCCAGACUCCUUCCCAAACAUUGCCGGCGGCCAUAGCGGUGGGAAAGAGUAGGGUAAGCUGCACAUGCUCGUACAUCCUGUUCCCAGAAGGGACCCGCAUCACUUCUGCACUUAUUUGAAUGUCCAGAGUCAAAACAACUUUUCCCAGGGAGGGGGCAGCAGGUCUAGGCUCAGAAUCCCUGAACCUUUUUGUUGGGAAAAAAAUUUAAAUAGAUUGGAAAAUUUUGUCGCCAAGUGUUUUCGAGUGUACAGAUAUGAGGAUAUUUGCAGGUGACACAUUUACAUGGCUUUCAACAACAACACUGCAUAACCAUAGAAAUGUUUCCAUACAUCUGUUUUUGAGAGAUUUUUCAAUGCUUGAGGCUGGUUUUUAUUUGCUUGUCUUCCGAAAACUGUUACUUUCUCACUCAUAAUUAAAACCUCUUUUAUAUCAAAGAGAGAUUUUUUUUUUGGAAAUCAAUCCACUUGGAAAUGAGACCCAUUUUUUACUGCAAAGGAAAAAAAUCAACAAAUUUGAACACUUAGCCUGUGUAAAACAAAAAAAAAAUCCAUAACUCUUCCUUACGAAUUAUACUUUCAGGUACUUUACAUAAGAUAAGCAGAAAAUUUCUGUGUGGUAUCAAAGCUUUCAGUAUAAUUAUGAUUGAAUUAUAUCUUACGACUCCUGAAGAUUCAACCUGAGAUAUUCAUUUCAUAAAGCUCAUUAUAUUGAUAGUAUCUUUCACAUAAAGACUUUGAAAAUGACACUCUUACUAUGAAGUGUGUUUUGAUAAUAUAGUAUAAUACGCAUUGGUAAUAUAUCAAUCGUUUGCUUACACAUAUGUAAGGAAAGAGUUUCAUAUGUGGUGCUACUUUUACAAACAUACCUCCCCCAAAAUUCUUUGUAUCUUCUAGUCUAAGCAAAUACUGCAUCUGAGCCCACACUCUUGCCCCGUAAAAAUAUUGUUUUGACUUAAGAAAUAACAUGAUGUUGAAAAUAUAUAUUCUCCAGUACACCUUUCCUUUAGAGUUUCACCAAAAAAGUAAUAUUUUUUUAGGCAUAUUUCACUGCCGAAACAGAGUCUAAGAAUCUAGCAAACAUCGUAAUUUGAGACAUAUUAGUCUCAAUACUGUCAUCCAGCUACAGAGCAAACCACCCACAUGAGGAAUUUGUUUGAUUCAAAUCCCUGCUUUGGAUCUUCAGCAAUGUUUUCUCUGGUUCAGUCAACAGUACUUGCUGACAAAUGAGUUCAUUUUAGUUUGUUGCCAUAUUAUUUUCCAUGCACUAGUUCAGUCAUUUUUCUAAGACCAACAGUAUGUGACCUUUUGUUUUCAUAAUUGAGAAAGAUACCUAAAAAGAACCUUCUCCUGGGAAACUGGUCACAUUAUCUUUUUUGAUCUAGAUCCUGGCUAUUUAGAUGUUUCAUUUUGUGAGUAAUUAAUGAAUUGUACACUUAUAA